Molecule: ribosomal RNA, 483 nt
Filed under: uncultured bacterium
Lineage: Bacteria
Description: partial 16S ribosomal RNA
Rfam family: Bacterial small subunit ribosomal RNA
Source: RNAcentral
GACGAACGCUGGCGGCGUGCUUAACACAUGCAAGUCGAACGAUGAAGCCGGAGCUUGCUCCGGUGGGUUAGUGGCGAACGGGUGAGUAACACGUGAGCAAUCUGCCCUUGACUCUGGGAUAACUGCGGGAAACUGUAGCUAAUACCGGAUACGACACCUUGGGGCAUCCUAGGGUGUGGAAAGAAUUUCGGUCAAGGAUGAGCUCGCGGCCUAUCAGCUAGUUGGUGAGGUAAUGGCUCACCAAGGCGACGACGGGUAGCCGGCCUGAGAGGGUGACCGGCCACACUGGAACUGAGACACGGUCCAGACUCCUACGGGAGGCAGCAGUGGGGAAUAUUGCACAAUGGGCGAAAGCCUGAUGCAGCAACGCCGUGUGAGGGAUGAAGGCCUUCGGGUUGUAAACCUCUUUUAGCAGGGAAGAAGCGAAAGUGACGGUACCUGCAGAAAAAGCACCGGCUAACUACGUGCCAGCAGCCGCAGUAA